AACCCGGGGCGGGCGCUUCCGGGAGGCGCGGCGCGAGGCUGAGCCUUCGGCCGGCUUAGAGGGUUGGCGGGCGGGAAGGGGCGCCUCUGCGCCAGCCUCCGCCUCGCCGCCCAGGUGCGCACUGCUCGCCUCGUACCGGCGAAACGACUCGCUUUGUAGGAAAAAACAAUAGCGCGUUUUCAUUCACUGAACUAACACGGUAGUGAAGGCGGCGGCGGAAAGCAGGCGAUGCUGUCGCGCGGCGACCUCAGAGCAGCCGCGUGGUUCGCACCUGUUACCUGACACGGCUCCGCCGGAGCCCGAGAAGGGGGAGCAGAGCUUUACAUCCAUCAUGGAGCUUGAACCAGGACUCUGAGAUCAAGAGUCACACUCUCUACUGACUGAGCCAGCCAGGCACCUCUGAACUCUUCUUACCAAGCGUUUCUUGCAUAUGGAGCUGGAGUUUUAAGUCUUUCAAGAAGCAGACACCAAGGAGUUGGAAGUGCAAGAGAUUUACUGGGGGAAAUUCCUGUGAAAGAUAAAAGGAGGAGUAGGAAGUCUCCAGACCAAGAUAUAGUCUAACACCUUAGAAAAGAGAGGGAAAGUAGAAUAAUUGUGUUGGAGGAGGUUGAAACUGCAAUGUAACUCUGAGAAAGCCUCAGCCAGGUGAAAAAAAAGAGCUCUGGCACUUGGAGUAAAGAAGUGAUGUUAGAACAACAUGACCCUGGGAUUCUUCUAUAGAACAACUGCAAAAUAAGAUCAUUGCUUCAGCAACAAACAGAAGCUACUGAAAUAGCUGAAAUGUACAGAAUGCCUAGAAAAAUUGGCAGAUAUGAGCAAAGCAAAUCUGGAGGUUACAAAGCCUUGGAUAACAAAACAAGUAACAGAAAUUCUUGGGUUUGAAGAGGAUGUUGUGACUGAGUUUACAACCAAUUGGAAGUGAAGGACUGAACCAAAAUAGAAGUUACUCCUUGAAUUUAAGUAUGUAGUACCAUCACCUUAUUAGGUUACAGCAGAGUAAGCGUCCCAUUGUGCCUCUGACCCAACUCUUUUGGGUAUAUUUGGAGACUCCAGACUCCAGUAUUAUGAGAAUCAACCUGACUGGGUUUUUGAAUGGAAAAAAAAGUGCUGGAAAGUUAGUUUAUGGGAGAACUUUGGCUCCUCCUAUGCGACAUCACUGGAAUACAUUCUGCUUUCCCAGACCCGAAGGAGAAAUAAAGCAGAGGCAGAAUGAAAAGAAACAUUGGCAUUUAUGAAAAAGCAAGGUGAAAACAAAGAUAAAGAGCAGAAAGAAAGAAAAAGCAGCAGAGAGAGAGAAAGGAGAGAGUCUUCCUGAAGCCCAAGAAGACUCCAAUUCGUCUCUCUUUUCCCUAGAAGAUAAUCCUGCCCAGUGAGGAGAGAGAGAAAGCACAAUUAUGUUCAAUUUCCCCAUCAGAACCAUGAGCCAGAGUCCUUCCCCAGCCCCAGAAAAAGAAAAACCAGCAUUCCCAGAAUCUUCAAGAAAACUAAAAAGAACCUUCAGUACAAGUCACCACUUCAGUGACAUACUGAAAAUUCCCCAACCUGAAUCUGUACCAGAGCCUACGAACCUUUCCGGGGGGGGGGGGGG
Long non-coding RNA from Canis lupus familiaris (dog), 1588 nucleotides. RefSeq lists it as uncharacterized. The transcript is spliced from 3 exons. Lineage: Eukaryota; Metazoa; Chordata; Mammalia; Carnivora; Canidae. The record is from RefSeq and is a predicted model, not a curated record.